UUUCUUUCAGUGAAAGCAGUACUGGAAACAUGAAAAGGUGCCAAAAUUUGAGAUCAGUUUUACUUUAAUCACUUACAAGAUAUAGAAUCACUUUCUUAUUUCAAUGCUAGUUGAAAAAUAGAACUGAUUUUGAUUUAUAUUUCACUUAGACUUAUGAGGUUGCUAUUUAUGUUUGUAAGUGAGUGCAUGACCAAAAUGAAUGGAACAACUCAUAUGCUCUAGAAAAUAGAAGUCCAUGGAUCUACUGGAUGAAAACUGUUUUAUUGAUUUCAAGGGGGUUUAAGUCAUUCCAUACAAAAUACUUCAGGGAAAAAUAGUGACAGGUGUAAAGAAACUAUAUAAAAGAUAUUAACAUAGACUGCAAUGCAUUCUUGCAAUCAGAGAUAUUCUUGUCAUAUUUCAGUGAUGGGCAAUUUGAAUUAAUUUUGCACAGAAAUAUUUACGGAUAUGUACUAAGAACAUAUAAAAAGAGUAUUUAGGAACAUAUUUUUUUUCAUUUCUAAUUAAUUAUAUAUGAACAAAAUAACAGCUGGUAUAUAAUUUAAAAUUUGGCAGUUGCAAAAAUUAAGAUUAAGGACACAGUUUCCAAUAAUUUAAAAUCUUAAGUUAAGGUGAAGCCUUGUGUUAUGUUGAUAAUAAGCAGAUCCAAAUAAGGUAUUAUAGAAAUUUUAGAUUAUAUUUAUUAAAAAAAAAGCCUGAUUAUUUUUCCUGUGCAAUUUUUUCAGAAUAUUUUUGUUGUAAUAUUUUAGCCAAGUAGGAGGACUUCUGUUUCAAAAUUUCUAAAUAUUUGUAUUUUUCUUUUCAUUCUUAUUUUCAUUUAAAGGUUCAGGUUGUUUCCUCUGGGCCAGAAAAAAAAUACAUUAAAACAGUAAAAAUAAAAUUGCUGCAGAACUAAGUCAUUGCAAGUGAGAUGAAAAAUAAAAAAAAUACAAAUCACAAAAAAACCCCUCAAAAACAGGAUCAUAGUGCAUUAGCAACAAUGCUUGCAGAUUCAUUAUGGCUCACAACAAAGUGACUGACCAACCUCUCAGUGAAGCACCUUUUCCUGAUCUGGUUCUGGUCAGAACUUCCCCUGAUGGAGCUUCAUUCCAGUUCCUCAUGUCCUAUUGCUAAUCACCAGAGAGAGGAGAUCAGUCCUUCCCCUCUUCUUGAGGAAGUUGAAGACUGAGAUGACAUCUUUCCUCAGCCUUUUCUUCUCCAAGCUCCAACAAACCAAGUGACCCUGGCUGCUUCUCCCUGCCUUUCACCAUCUUGGUCAACCUUUUCUGAAUGCUCUCUGAUAGUUCCGUGGUCUUCUUAUGUUGGGGACAAUAAUAUAAAUGUGAAAAUCAUGAGAGCAAUUUGAACAAUGGUGUGACAUGAUGAGGAUGCUUUACUUAAGAACCUAGUGGAACACGUAACUCCACCUGGAUAGAACCCCAUUCCUGGCAGAAAUUUAUUGACAUCCAUAGGCUGUCAUUAGGGAAAUGGAUCUUCCACUUAAGAAAAUGUGUUCUAAAUUUAUAAAACUUUUAAUUUCUGUCUAGUAAAAGUAGUUUCAGCAUAUUCCAGUCUACUUUAUUGAUUUUGAGAUUACUUUUGGAACUAAAGGUGAUGUGAGGAAUUUGUCAGCCAACUCAGUCAAAACCCCCACUUUUAAUAUCUGUCAUCUAGUGUGUCAGGUUAUUUCCCAAGUUCAAGUAAUAAACUGAUAAACUAAGGAUGUAUUAGACACAGAAGAAGUACACAAAAGAUGAUAUUGAUUUAAUUAAAACAUUAGAUUAGAAUCAUAUACAAUCAUAUAAACAUAUAAAUAUCAUAUACAAUCAUUCUUUUAAGCUAUUUUUUUUAAGCAAAACAUGCAAGGGUUAAAAUUCUUAGAGCAAAAAUAUCUUCCUUAGUUCCACAUAUUUUUAAUUUUAAAGUAAAUGUGUUAACAGAAAGGGGACUACAACAAACUGUAAUUUUAAAGUUUAGCUAAGUUUAAAUAGCAAUAGAAUAGUCCUUCCAGCAUGCUUUACUAUUUAAUGUAAAUUCCUCCGACCCAUCCCCCAAGUUAACUUACUAUGCUCUUUUAAGAAUUUAACAUUUUAUAAAGAUGAAACAUUUGGUACAACUUUUAACAAUUUAAGAAAACAAUAGAAGAUGAUGGUUCUAGGAAAUUAUUAUGUUAAGGGUUUUUUUCAGUUUUUAGUGUCUAAUUGUAGUAGCCACAAUUUAGGCAAUAGCCACGUAUGGUUCUGCCAGGUUCAAAGAUAUUAUUCUGCAUCAAGCCCUGAAAGAUUUUGUUCAGUUAUGCAAAUGCUCAUUCACUUGAGUAGCCUUUAUUCAUAUAUGUGAUCGUAUUCAACACAUUGUUUUAUGAUUAAUCAAAACACUGAAGUGUCGCAAAAAGAGUACCUUCUCUUUUCUUGUGUUUUUGCACAAUUUUCUGUACAGGCAAAUAUUCUUCAGAAACUAUUUAAACUGCUUAUUAUGCAUAGCAAAGCAUGCCUGUAAAACAUUUUGUGUCUCUAUUUCUACAACAAUAUGUAUUAUUUUUAAUCAUUAUAAUCGGAAGCUUCAUUGUUCUUGAAAUACUGCUUUGUUAAUCAGAUUUCUUGUACUUAGAUAAAUAUUACUUUGCAAAUACAUAGAAAAGAAUGUAUAGAAAAUAUCAGUCCCUCAAACUUUUGUGUUUUUCAAGUCUGACUUUUGUUAAUUAUCUUUUGGACAUUGUGGGUAAAUUGUUCAUUAUUACAUUAUCAUAAUGUGGGGGAACUGGAUUGCACUAUCUCCAAAGAAUAUGCAUUACAUCAAAAUGGAUUACCUAAAACUGGUUGAAAGCCAUUUUUCUCAUCGUUGCAAUUGUCACAUUAGUGAAAGAAAACAGUCAGCAUUCCAUGAACAUUUUAUUUCUUUAGAAUCUCUAAGAUUUCCCAGGAGAAUAAAUCAUAUAAUCAAGCAAAAGUGCUUGGUGUGAUCAAUUCUGCAACACUGCGUUGCUUUUUCUGGAAAGUCAUUUAUGAAAUAAUUAACUGUAUCCAUGUUAUUCAGUGUUGUCUACAUACCUUAAUAAAACAUAAUGACAGCAGGCAUUGAUCAUGGAAGUUUGAACAUUAUUUUAUCGUGAUUGUUUUCAAAAUUCAGUUUGAUGAAAUGAACAUUCUGGGUAAAUCCAGUUACCUGAGAAUAAACUUAAAAACUGUAAUUACUUUAUGAAAAUAAAGAGGCAUAUCACAUG
Molecule: long non-coding RNA, 3202 nt
Organism: Agelaius phoeniceus (red-winged blackbird)
Lineage: Eukaryota; Metazoa; Chordata; Aves; Passeriformes; Icteridae
Source: RefSeq, a predicted model, not a curated record